CAGUAGCCGCGGGAAUACGGAGGGAGCUAGCGUUGUUCGGAAUUACUGGGCGUAAAGCGCACGUAGGCGGCUUUGUAAGUUAGAGGUGAAAGCCUGGAGCUCAACUCCAGAAUUGUCUUUAAGACUGCAUCGCUUGAAUCCAGGAGAGGUGAGUGGAAUUCCGAGUGUAGAGGUGAAAUUCGUAGAUAUUCGGAAGAACACCAGUGGCGAAGGCGGCUCACUGGACUGGUAUUGACGCUGAGGUGCGAAAGCGUGGGGAGCAAACAGGAUUAGAUACCCCCGUAGUCCCUGUCUCUUAUAC
This 301-nucleotide ribosomal RNA is filed under the name uncultured bacterium. Its description in RNAcentral is "partial 16S ribosomal RNA". It matches the Rfam family "Bacterial small subunit ribosomal RNA", at positions 509 to 807 of the family's 1533-position model. The record is from RNAcentral.